Molecule: long non-coding RNA, 45458 nt
Filed under: Sorghum bicolor (sorghum)
Lineage: Eukaryota; Viridiplantae; Streptophyta; Magnoliopsida; Poales; Poaceae
Description: long non-coding RNA (SBIC_LNC012769)
Source: RNAcentral
GCGGGGACAGACAGAUCCGAAUUUUUUUUUCUUAUUGAUUUUGAUAUAUGGAACAUUGCAAUCGGAGUUCGUAUGCAAAAGUUAUGGCUCUUUUACGAACGGACUCCGAAUUAGAGGACAAAACGGUCCGAAAGUGGGGAAAAUUUGCAGCGGUGGCUAGAAAUUGAUUGAAACGGUGGGGAAAAACACAUGAACUAGAGUCUAGCAAGACCUAACCAGAAACAAGACCUCAACCAGGACACAAACUCAACUCUGCGGACGUUGUAACUGAAAUAUGCAAAGGCUAUGGCGCGGAAGGGUUGUAGGACAGGAAAACGAUAUGGCACUGGACUUAUGGGACGAACAUAGGAACACUCGAAACUAAGGGUAUAUGUGAAACUAACGGUAUACCUGAAGCUUUGAUUACCACUUGAUGAGAACAAGGGUGGCCCUAUCUUCCAAAAGUUUCUGGUAACUCUCGAUUUGGUGGAGAUGAGAUACAAAUCAAUCCAGCUUCAGAACAACACGAUCCGAAACCCUGCAUUUUUUUUAUUUUUUUGAUAUUUUUCUUUUACUAGGAGCACUAAAAAAGUAACCACAGAAAAUUUGAGCUUAAACAAGUGAAAGACGUGGUCUGUAGAAUUUUUUGAAGAUUGCGAAAAAUGUGAAAAAAAACAUCACGAGGUAAAAACUCAAAUUUCGGAGGCGAAUUUGGAGAUUCUAAAAUUUUCAAACCUGCUCUAGGCAGGGACAGACUGAUCCAAAUAUUUUGUCUUAUCGAUUUUGAUAUAUGGAACAUUGCAAUCGGAGUACGUAUGCAAAAGUUAUGGCUCUUUUACGGACGGACUCCGAAUUAGAGGACAAAACGGUCUGAAAGUGGGGAAAAUUUGCGGCGGUGGCUAGAAAUUGAUUGAAACGGUGGGGAAAAACACACGAACUAGAGUCUAGCAAGAUCUAACCAGAAACAAGACCUCAACCAGGACACAAACUCAACUCUGCGGACGCUGUAACUGAAAUAUGCAAAGGCUAUGGCGCGAUAGGUUUGUAGAACACGAAAACGAUAUGGCACUGGACUUAUGGGACGAACAUAGGAACACUCGAAACGAAGUGUAUAUGUGAACCUAACGGUAUACCUGAAGCUUUGAUUACCACUUGAUGAGAACAAGGUUGGCCUGAUCUUCCAAAAGUUUCUGGUAACACUCGAUUUGGUGGAGAUGAGAUACAAAUCGAUCCGGCUUCCGGACAACACGAUCUGAAACCCUGCAAUUUUUUUAUUUUUUUGAUAUUUUUCUUUUACUAGGAGCACUAAAAAAGUAAGUACAGAAAAUUUGAGCUUAAACAAGUGAAAGACGUGGUCUGCAGAAUUUUCUAAAGAUUGCAAAAAAUGUGAAAAACCUUCAUGAGGUGAAAACUCAAACUUCGCAGGUGAAUUUGGAGAUUCUAAAAUUUUCAAACCUGCUAAAGGCGAGGACAGACAGAUCUGAAUUUUUUUUUCUGAUCGAUUUUGAUUCAUGGAACAUUGAAAUUGGAGUUCGUAUGUGAACGUUAUGGUUGUUUUAGGAACGGACUCCGAAUUAGAGGACAAAACGGUCCGAAAGUGGGAAAAAUUUACGGUGGUGCCUAGAAAUUGAUGGAAAUGGUGGGGUAAAAUACACGAACUGGACUCUACAAGACCUAACCAGCAACAAGACCUCGACUAGGACACAAACUCAACACUGUAGACUCUAAAACUGAAAUAUGCAAAGGCUAUGGUGCGGAAGGGUUGUAGGACAGGAAAACGAUGUGGCACUAGACUUAUGGGAUGAACAUAAGAACACUCGAAACUAAGGGCCGAUGUGGACCUAAUGUUAUACAUGAAGCUUUGAUUACCACUUGAUGAGAACAAGGGUGGCCCGAUCUUCCGAAAGGUUCAGGUAACUCUCGAUUUGGUGGAGAUGAGACACAAAUCGAUCCGGCUUCCGAACAACACGAUCCGAAACACUGCAAUUUUGUUUAUUUUUUUGAUAUUUUUCUUUUACUAGGAGCACUAAAGAAGUAACCAUAGAAAAUUUGAGGUUAAACAAGUGAAAGACCUAGUCUGCGGAAAUUUCUGAAGAUUUUGAAAAAUGUGAAAAAAAUCAUGAGGUGAAAACUCAAACUUCGGAGGCAAAUUUGUAGAUACUAAAAGUUUGAAACCCACCAUAGGUAGAGACAGACAGAUCCGAAUUUUUUUUCUGAUCCAUCUUGAUAUAUGGAACAUUGAAAUCGGAGUUCGUAUGCGAAAGUUAUGGCUGUUUUACGAAUGGACUCUAAAUUAGAGGACAAAACGGUCCGAAAGUCGGAAAAAUUUGCGGCGGUGGCUAGAAAUUGAUGGAUAUGGUGGGGAAAAUACAUGAACUGGACUCUAACAAGACCUAACCAGCAACAAGACCUCAACCAGAACACAAACUCAACACUGCGGACUCUAAAACUGAAAUAUGCAAAGGUUAUGACGCGGAAGGGUUGUAGGACAGGAAAACGAUAUGGCACUAUACUUACGGGACGAGCACAAAGACACUCGAAACUAAGGGUAGAUGUGAACCUAACGAUAUACCCGAAGCUUUGAUUACCACUUGAUGAGAACAAGGGACCGAUCUUCCAAAAGGUUCUGGUAACUCUCGAUUUGGUGGAGACGAGAUACAAAUAGAUCUGACUUCCGAACAACACGAUACGAAACCCUACAAUUUUUUUAAAAUUGUUUUGAUAUUCUUCUAUUACUCAGGAGCACUAAAGAAGUAACCAGAGUAAAUUUGAGCUUAAAGAAGUGAAAGACGUGGCAUGCGGAAUUUUCUGAAGAUUGCGAAAAAUGUGAAAUAAACUUCACAAGGUGAAAACUCAAACUUCAAAGGCGAAUUUGGAGAUUCUAAAUUUUUCAAACCCAACAAUGGCAGAGACAGAGAGAUCCAAAUUUUUUUCUGAUCCAUUUUGAUAUAUGGAACAUUGAAAUCGGAGUUCGUUUGCGAAAGUUAUGGCUGUUUUACGAAUGGAAUCUAAAUUAGAGGACAAAAUUGUCCAAAAGUGGGAAAAAUUUGUGGCGGUGGGUAGAAAUUGAUGGAAAUGUUGGGGAAAAAUACAUGAACUGGACUCUAACAUGACCUAACCAGCAACAAGACCUCGACCAGGACACAAACUCAACACUGCCGACUCUGAAACUGAAAUAUGCAAAGGCUAUGGCACGGAAGGAUUCUAGGACAGGAAAACGAUAUGGCACUGUACCUACGGGACGAACACAAGAACACUCAAAACUAAGGGUAGAUGUGAACCUAACGAUACACCUGAAGCUUUGAUUACCACUUGAUGAGAACAAGGGUGGCCCGAUCUUCCAAAAGGUUAUGGUAACUCUCGAUUUGGUGGAGACGAGAUACAAAUCGAUCCGGCUUCCGAACAACACGAUCUGAAACCCUGCAAUUUUUUUAAAUUUUUUUGAUAUUCUUCUUUUACUUAGGAGCACUAAAGAAGUAACCAGAGAAAAUUUGAGCUUAAACAAGUAAAAGACGUGGCCUGCGGAAUUUUUUGAAGACUGUGAAAAAUGUGAAAUAAACUUCACGAGAUGAAAACUCAAACUUCAGACGCGAAUUUGGUGAUUCUAAAAUUUUCAAAUCCACCAUUGGCGGAGACAGACAGAUCUGAAUUUUUUUUGAUCGAUUUUGAUAUAUGGAACGUUGAAAUCUGAGUUCGUAUGCGAAAGUUAUGGCUAUUUUACGAAUGGACUCCGAAUUAGAGGACAAAACGGUUCGAAAGUGGGAAAAAUUUACGGCGGUGGCUAGAAAUUGUUGGAAAACGGUGGGGAAAAACACACGAACUAAACUCUAACAAGACCUAACCAGCAACAAGACUUCGACCAGGACACAAACUCAACACUGCGGACUCUGAAACUGAAAUAUGCAAAGGUUAUGACGCGGAAGGGUUGUAGGACAGGAAAACAAUAUGGCACUAUACUUACGGGACGAACACAAAAACACUUAAAACUAAGGGUAGAUGUGAACCUAACGAUAUACCUGAAGGUUUGAUUGCCACUUGAUGAGAACAAGGGUGGACCGAUCUUCCGAAAGGUUAUGGUAACUCUCGAUUUGGUGGAGACGAGAUACAAAUAGAUCUGACUUCCGAACAACACGAUACGAAACCCUACAAUUUUUUUAAAAUUGUUUUGAUAUUCUUCUAUUACUUAGGAGCACUAAAGAAGUAACCAGAGUAAAUUUGAGCUUAAAGAAGUGAAAGACGUGGCAUGCGGAACUUUCUGAAGAUUGCGAAAAAUGUGAAAUAAACUUCACAAGGUGAAAACUCAAACUUCAAAGGCGAAUUUGGAGAUUCUAAAUUUUUCAAACCCAACAAUGGCAGAGACAGAGAGAUCCAAAUUUUUUUCUGAUCCAUUUUGAUAUAUGGAACAUUGAAAUCGGAGUUCGUAUGCGAAAGUUAUGGCUGUUUUACUAAUGGAAUCUAAAUUAGAGGACAAAAUUGUCCAAAAAGUGGGAAAAAUUUGUGGCGGUGGGUAGAAAUUGAUGGAAAUGUUGGGGAAAAAUACAUGAACUGGACUCUAACAUGACCUAACCAGCAACAAGACCUCGACCAGGACACAAACUCAACACUGCCGACUCUGAAACUGAAAUAUGCAAAGGCUAUGGCACGGAAGGAUUCUAGGACAGGAAAACGAUAUGGCACUGUACCUACGGGACGAACACAAGAACACUCAAAACUAAGUGUAGAUGUGAACCUAACGAUACACCUGAAGCUUUGAUUACCACUUGAUGAGAACAAGGGUGGCCCGAUCUUCCAAAAGGUUAUGGUAACUCUCGAUUUGGUGGAGACGAGAUAAAAAUCGAUCCGGCUUCCGAACAACACGAUCUGAAACCCUGCAAUUUUUUUAAAUUUUUUUGAUAUUCUUCUUUUACUUAGGAGCACUAAAGAAGUAACCAGAGAAAAUUUGAGCUUAAACAAGUAAAAGACGUGGCCUGCGGAAUUUUUUGAAGACUGUGAAAAAUGUGAAAUAAACUUCACGAGAUGAAAACUCAAACUUCAGACGCGAAUUUGGUGAUUCUAAAAUUUUCAAAUCCACCAUUGGCGGAGACAGACAGAUCUGAAUUUUUUUUGAUCGAUUUUGAUAUAUGGAACGUUGAAAUCUGAGUUCGUAUGCGAAAGUUAUGGCUAUUUUACGAAUGGACUCCGAAUUAGAGGACAAAACGGUUCGAAAGUGGGAAAAAUUUACGGCGGUGGCUAGAAAUUGUUGGAAAACGGUGGGGAAAAACACACGAACUAAACUCUAACAAGACCUAACCAGCAACAAGACUUCGACCAGGACACAAACUCAACACUGCGGACUCUGAAACUGAAAUAUGCAAAGGUUAUGACGCGGAAGGGUUGUAGGACAGGAAAACAAUAUGGCACUAUACUUACGGGACGAACACAAAAACACUUAAAACUAAGGGUAGAUGUGAACCUAACGAUAUACCUGAAGGUUUGAUUGCCACUUGAUGAGAACAAGGGUGGACCGAUCUUCCGAAAGGUUCUGGUAACUCUCGAUUUGGUGGAGACGAGAUACAAAUAGAUCUGACUUCCGAACAACACGAUACGAAACCCUACAAUUUUUUUAAAAUUGUUUUGAUAUUCUUCUAUUACUUAGGAGCACUAAAGAAGUAACCAGAGUAAAUUUGAGCUUAAAGAAGUGAAAGACGUGGCAUGCGGAAUUUUCUGAAGAUUGCGAAAAAUGUGAAAUAAACUUCACAAGGUGAAAACUCAAACUUCAAAGGCGAAUUUGGAGAUUCUAAAUUUUUCAAACCCAACAAUGGCAGAGACAGAGAGAUCCAAAUUUUUUUCUGAUCCAUUUUGAUAUAUGGAACAUUGAAAUCGGAGUUCGUAUGCGAAAGUUAUGGCUGUUUUACUAAUGGAAUCUAAAUUAGAGGACAAAAUUGUCCAAAAGUGGGAAAAAUUUGUGGCGGUGGGUAGAAAUUGAUGGAAAUGUUGGGGAAAAAUACAUGAACUGGACUCUAACAUGACCUAACCAGCAACAAGACCUCGACCAGGACACAAACUCAACACUGCCGACUCUGAAACUGAAAUAUGCAAAGGCUAUGGCACGGAAGGAUUCUAGGACAGGAAAACGAUAUGGCACUGUACCUACGGGACGAACACAAGAACACUCAAAACUAAGGGUAGAUGUGAACCUAACGAUACACCUGAAGCUUUCAUUACCACUUGAUGAGAACAAGGGUGGCCCGAUCUUCCAAAAGGUUAUGGUAACUCUCGAUUUGGUGGAGACGAGAUACAAAUCGAUCCGGCUUCCGAACAACACGAUCUGAAACCCUGCAAUUUUUUUAAAUUUUUUUGAUAUUCUUCUUUUACUUAGGAGCACUAAAGAAGUAACCAGAGAAAAUUUGAGCUUAAACAAGUAAAAGACGUGGCCUGCGGAAUUUUUUGAAGACUAUGAAAAAUGUGAAAUAAACUUCACGAGAUGAAAACUCAAACUUCAGACGCGAAUUUGGUGAUUCUAAAAUUUUCAAAUCCACCAUUGGCGGAGACAGACAGAUCUGAAUUUUUUUUGAUCGAUUUUGAUAUAUGGAACGUUGAAAUCUGAGUUCGUAUGCGAAAGUUAUGGCUAUUUUACGAAUGGACUCCGAAUUAGAGGACAAAACGGUUCGAAAGUGGGAAAAAUUUACGGCGGUGGCUAGAAAUUGUUGGAAAACGGUGGGGAAAAACACACGAACUAGACUCUAACAAGACCUAACCAGCAACAAGACUUCGACCAGGACACAAACUCAACACUGCGGACUCUGAAACUGAAAUAUGCAAAGGUUAUGAUGCGGAAGGGUUGUAGGACAGGAAAACAAUAUGGCACUAUACUUACGGGACGAACACAAAAACACUUAAAACUAAGGGUAGAUGUGAACCUAACGAUAUACCUGAAGCUUUGAUUGCCACUUGAUGAGAACAAGGGUGGACCGAUCUUCCGAAAGGUUCUGGUAACUCUCGAUUUGGUGGAGACGAGAUACAAAUAGAUCCGGCUUCCGAACAACACGAUACGAAACACUACAAUUUUUUUUAAAAUUUUUUUGAUAUUCUUCUAUUACUUAGGAGCACUAAAGAAGUAACCAUAGUAAAUUUGAGCUUAAAGAAGUGAAAGACGUGGCAUGCGGAAUUUUCUGAAGAUUGCGAAAAAUAUGAAAUAAACUUCACAAGGUGAAAACUCAAACUUCAAAGGCGAAUUUGGAGAUUCUAAAUUUUUCAAACCCAACAAUGGCAGAGACAGAGAGAUCCAAAUUUUUUUCUGAUCCAUUUUGAUAUAUGGAACAUUGAAAUCGGAGUUCGUAUGCGAAAGUUAUGGCUGUUUUACUAAUGGAAUCUAAAUUAGAGGACAAAAUUGUCCAAAAGUGGGAAAAAUUUGUGGCGGUGGGUAGAAAUUGAUGGAAAUGUUGGGGAAAAAUACAUGAACUGGACUCUAACAUGACCUAACCAGCAACAAGACCUCGACCAGGACACAAACUCAACACUGCCGACUCUGAAACUGAAAUAUGCAAAGGCUAUGGCACGGAAGGAUUCUAGGACAGGAAAACGAUAUGGCACUGUACCUACGGGACGAACACAAGAACACUCAAAACUAAGUGUAGAUGUGAACCUAACGAUACACCUGAAGCUUUGAUUACCACUUGAUGAGAACAAGGGUGGCCCGAUCUUCCAAAAGGUUAUGGUAACUCUCGAUUUGGUGGAGACGAGAUACAAAUCGAUCCGGCUUCCGAACAACACGAUCUGAAACCCUGCAAUUUUUUUAAAUUUUUUUGAUAUUCUUCUUUUACUUAGGAGCACUAAAGAAGUAACCAGAGAAAAUUUGAGCUUAAACAAGUAAAAGACGUGGCCUGCGGAAUUUUUUGAAGACUGUGAAAAAUGUGAAAUAAACUUCACGAGAUGAAAACUCAAACUUCAGACGCGAAUUUGGUGAUUCUAAAAUUUUCAAAUCCACCAUUGGCGGAGACAGACAGAUCUGAAUUUUUUUUGAUCGAUUUUGAUAUAUGGAACGUUGAAAUCUGAGUUCGUAUGCGAAAGUUAUGGCUAUUUUACGAAUGGACUCCGAAUUAGAGGACAAAACGGUUCGAAAGUGGGAAAAAUUUACGGCGGUGGCUAGAAAUUGUUGGAAAACGGUGGGGAAAAACACACGAACUAAACUCUAACAAGACCUAACCAGCAACAAGACUUCGAUCAGGACACAAACUCAACACUGUGGACUCUGAAACUGAAAUAUGCAAAGGUUAUGACGCGGAAGGGUUGUAGGACAGGAAAACAAUAUGGCACUAUACUUACGGGACGAACACAAAAACACUUAAAACUAAGGGUAGAUGUGAACCUAACGAUAUACCUGAAGGUUUGAUUGCCACUUGAUGAGAACAAGGGUGGACCGAUCUUCCGAAAGGUUCUGGUAACUCUCGAUUUGGUGGAGACGAGAUACAAAUAGAUCUGACUUCCGAACAACACGAUACGAAACCCUACAAUUUUUAUAAAAUUGUUUUGAUAUUCUUCUAUUACUUAGGAGCACUAAAGAAGUAACCAGAGUAAAUUUGAGCUUAAAGAAGUGAAAGACGUGGCAUGCGGAAUUUUCUGAAGAUUGCGAAAAAUGUGAAAUAAACUUCACAAGGUGAAAACUCAAACUUCAAAGGCGAAUUUGGAGAUUCUAAAUUUUUCAAACCCAACAAUGGCAGAGACAGAGAGAUCCAAAUUUUUUUCUGAUCCAUUUUGAUAUAUGGAACAUUGAAAUCGGAGUUCGUAUGUGAAAGUUAUGGCUGUUUUACUAAUGGAAUCUAAAUUAGAGGACAAAAUUGUCCAAAAGUGGGAAAAAUUUGUGGCGGUGGGUAGAAAUUGAUGGAAAUGUUGGGGAAAAAUACAUGAACUGGACUCUAACAUGACCUAACCAGCAACAAGACCUCGACCAGGACACAAACUCAACACUGCCGACUCUGAAACUGAAAUAUGCAAAGGCUAUGGCGCGGAAGGAUUCUAGGAUGGGAAAACGAUAUGGCACUGUACCUACGGGACGAACACAAGAACACUCAAAACUAAGGGUAGAUGUGAACCUAACGAUACACCUGAAGCUUUGAUUACCACUUGAUGAGAACAAGGGUGGCCCGAUCUUCCAGAAGGUUAUGGUAACUCUCGAUUUGGUGGAGACGAGAUACAAAUCGAUCCGGCUUCCGAACAACACGAUCCGAAACCCUGCAAUUUUUUUAAAUUUUUUUGAUAUUAUUCUUUUACUUAGGAGCACUAAAGAAGUAACCAGAGAAAAUUUGAGCUUGAACAAGUAAAAGACGUGGCCUGCGGAAUUUUUUGAAGACUGUGAAAAAUGUGAAAUAAACUUCACGAGAUGAAAACUCAAACUUCAGACGCGAAUUUGGUGAUUCUAAAAUUUUCAAACCCAACCAUGGCAGAGACAGAAAGAUCCGAAUUUUUUUUCUCAUCGAUUUUGAUAUAUGGAACGUUGAAAUCGGAGUUCGUAUGCGAAAGUUUUGACUGUGUCACGAACGGACUCCGAAUUAGAGGACAAAAUGGUUCGAAAGUAGGAAAAAUUUGCGGCGGUCGCUAGAAAUUGAUGGAAACCGGUGGGGAAAAACACACGAACUAGGCUCUAACAAGACCUAACCAGCAUCAAGACCUCGACCAGGACACAAACUCAACACCGCGGAUUCUGAAACUGAAAUAUGCAAAGGCUAUGACACGGAAGGCUUGUAGGACAGGAAAACGAUAUGGCACUGGACUUACGGGACGAACACAAGAACACUCGAAACUAAGGGUAGAUGUGAACCUAACGGUAUACCUGAAGCUUAGAUUACCACUUGAUGAGAACAAGGGUGGCCCGAUCUUCCGAAAGGUUGUGGUAACUCUCGAUUUGGUGGAGACGAGAUACAAAUCGAUCUGGCUUCCAACAACACGAUCCGAAAUCCUAUAAUUUUGUUUUUAUUUUUUUUUGAUAUUUUUUGUUACUUAGUAGCACUAAAGAAGUAACCACAGAAAAUUUGAGCUUAAUCAAGUGAAAGACGUGGCCUACAAAAUUGUGAAAUAAACUUCACAAGGUGAAAACUCAAACUUUGGAGGCGAAUUUGGAGAUUCUAAAAUUUUAAAACCCACCAAUGGCGGAGACACACAGAUUCCAAAUUUUUUUUAAUCAAUUUUGAUAUAUGGAACAUUGAAAUUGGAGUUCGUAUGGGAAAGUUAUGGCUGUUUUACGAACGGACACCGAAUUAGAGGACAAAACGGUUCGAAAGUGGGAAAAAUUUGCGGCGGUGGCUAGAAAUUGAUGAAAAAUUUGGAGAUUCUAAAAUUUUCAAACCCACCAAUGGUAGAGACGGACAGAUCCAAAAUUUUUUUCUGAUUGAUUUUGAUAUAUGGAACGAUGAAAUCGGAGUUCGUAUGCGAAUGUUAUGGUUGUGUUACGAACGGACUCCGAAUUCGAGGACAAAACGGUUCGAAAGUGGGAAAAAAUUGCGGCGGUGGCUAGAAUUUGAUGGAAAACCGUAGGGAAAAACACACGAACUGGACUCUAACAAGACCUAACCAGCAACAAGACCUCGACCAGGACACAAACUCAAUACUGCGGACUCUGAAACUAAAAUAUGCAAAGACUAUGACGCGGAAGGGUUGUAGGAUACGAAAAUGAUAUGGCACUGGACUUACGGGACGAACACAGGAACACUCGAAACUAAGGGUAGAUGUGAACCUAAUGGUAUACCUAAAGUUUUGAUUACCACUUGAUGAGAACAAGGGUGUGGGGGUAUAAACCCCUAUACCCUUACGGCUAGACUUGGGGCAGGAGACUUGGCCCAUCACGAGGCAGUUCGAGGCUUGAUCUAACUGCUCGGAGUUGCGCGCAAGGAAACAAGACGUGGAGAUCAAGCAAUAUUCUAGUCAGUUAGAAUAGGAAUUGAUAUCGUAUUAUCUAUAGUAAUUAUAACCGACUAGGAUUAGUUUCUAGAUCUGUAACCUUGCCCUAUGGAUUAUAUAAAGAGAGGCAAGGGCCCCCAUAGACAACAAAACUCAACACAAUUCGACCCACAACAAUACAAUGAGACGCAGGACGUAGGUAUUACGUCCACACGGUGGCUGGACCUGGAUAAAAUCCUUGUCUGUGUCUUGUGUCACCAUCAAGUUUGUAGCUUGCGCACCUAUGUGCCGAUAAACUACUACCGUGGGUAUACCCCAAGGUAGACUGCCGACUAGCUUUCAUCGAUGGUGGCGUGACAGGUAGGGGGAGUGUGUACAGCUUCCCAAACGAACAACAUGGUUAUCAUCCGAGCUUCCGCUGCCGUGGCUGAAGGUCUCACAUUCACCGUCGGCCAGUUCACUUGGACGACUCACGGUGGCGACCUUACGACCACGACUCUGGAAGAAACUCAGAUCCAAUCUGGGGUAGCAGAGGCGAUGACCCUGAUCACGCCAACCACGAUAACUAUGACUCUGAGGGCCCAACCUCCGCUCCCUCGCUACAAGGGAAAACGAUUCGACAACUCAGACCUUCUUAAAGCCAUCGGUCGAGCCGACCACAAGCUUCUUGAAGUCUCCAACCUGGUGGAUUCGAUUCCAUGCAAGCUUGAUCCAGCACCAGUAUUGUGUUUUUUCAACUCCCAUCAACCAACUCGUGCCACCACGCACGAACGAUUGGAGACGUCCUUGAUGAUAACGUCGACCACCAAGGGGCAGAUUGUCAAUCUCAAGACAGCCUCACCAAAAGAGAACUUUCCUCAUGGUCUGAGCAACACGGCCGAUCAGGUCUCACGACAUAUUCAAUCAUUAUUCGGGAAGAUGGGAUUGUCGCCGGAGCAAACCAGGCGAAUAGCUCGUCAGUUUGUCAAUAUGGUAUCCAUCCGCACUCUGCCAGAAGACAAGGCCACCAAUACAAACUCUAGCACAGGGUCUGUCCCUACCGAGGUUUUACAUCCCGAGGACGAAGACUACGACUUAGAUUUGCCGCCCUACCCCCCGGGUUUUUCCCGCUUUCCAGUCUUUCCACCUCGACGAGGAGAUCUAGUUUUCAACAUCAGCAACGACGAACCAGUUGUCGAUGGCGUAAUCGACGAACAAAGACAGUAGCACGAACAACGCAACAUCAAUUGUGCUCAGCGACGAGCAGAUGAGGAGCGACAAUUAAUCCUAAACAACCUUGAUGAUGCUUUCGACAUGGUUGGAAAUCAGCAAGUGUUCAAGACACCAAGUGCCAACGUGGCCGUUGCCAUGGCAAAUCUCGAUCGACUUCCAGAUACUCCAGAAUAUCAGGACGCUCGAACCAACAUACGAGCGCAUCUGAUCGCUGCCAUAGGACAGACCGCUACUCUGCUCAAAAGGGUCCAAGCCGUCUCCUAUACGGAGGUCACCUCUGACUAGACUCAUCGCAGUCGAACCUCACCGCGACCCGGCGGACACCGUCGUAGCCGUUCACCUAUCAAUGAUCGAAGUAAGGACACCCAUCAUGACAAUCGUGGUCGGGAUGCUGGCAGUUAGCAUGAACAAAGACAUGGACGUGGUCAGGAGGUGAACCAAGACCGGGAUGCCCGUUAGCACAUCAACAGGCGUAUUACUGAUAGAGCAGUACACGAAAACGUGCGACGCAUCGAGUACGAUGUAGCCCACGGCCCCCCGGGACUAAGACAAUUCUCCUCACACAUUUGGCAAGUCGUAUGGCCCCGCAAUUUCAAGCUUGAGAAGCUUAAAAAGUACAAUGACAAGCAGAAUCCCAAAAACUGGAUCACUCUUUAUGAGAUCGCAGUCUGAUCAGCAGGAGGAGAUGAUCACAUCAUGGCAAACUAUUUCCCAAUCGUCCAUGACCAUGCUGGCCACCAAUGGCUCCUCGGUCUACCCGAGGACUCUUUUGAUUCUUGGGAGGAAUUGCGCCAGGCAUUUAUCGAUAACUUCAUUGCUACCUAUAAGCAGCCUGGAAAUAAUAUGACCUUGACACGAUAUGUUACAGGAAGAAUGAGCCCCUGCGCUACUACAUCCAACGCUUCUCGGAUAUGCGCCUCAAGAUUCCAAAAAUUUCCCAUGACGAGGCCAUAUCGGCUUUCAUCAAAGGCCUACGCUUCCACGAAGCAUUAGGAAGCAAGCUACUGCGCAAAAGGCCGACCAUGGUCGCUGAACUUCUCGCCACAGCCAAGAACUACGCUGAUGCCGACGACACAGAAAAGCUCAUCCGAGAAGACGUAUGAGGAGCGGAGCAGCCUCCCCGACGAGAUGACAGCCGUGGAUGUUACGACACCCGGAAUCCCCGCCUUGGCGACAACCGCGACCACCGAGAAGGGUGGGACAGGCGCCGUGAUAAUCGUGACGAUUUCAAAAGCAAGUGACCUCACGACAACGAUCACGAGGUAAACACAGUCAAGCGCCCCAAUGGAUGGCGGGACUACCAGGAAGACUACAACAAGACGCUGAAAGGACCGUGCCAACUCCAUCCCAAGUCGAACCAUACGAUGGAAGAAUGCCGUGUCCUCAAAAGCAUCUACACACAGCAGGCUGCCUAUGGGGAUGCCACCAAGAAAAUUGGAAAACAUGACAGACGCAGUCAAGAAGACGAGGACGACGACCAGGAUAGGGACCCACGGCACCAAUAAGUCAACCUGACCGACGUAGUACACUCAAUAUUUGGAGGGAAGGUCUCAAUCGAGUCGAAGCGAGAAAGAAAACUCUUAAAGAGAGCCUGCCUCAAUGUGGACAGCGCCGAUGGUUUGAUCGCCGAUCCUAAAUUCCCUCCCUGGUCGCACCAAGAGAUUUCCUUCAAUAGACAGGACCAAUGGGCCACCAUCCCGGAGCCAGGGCGCUUCCCGUUGAUCAUGGACCUGUGCAUCAACAACAUCAUGUUUGAGCGCGUGCUCGUCGACGGGGGUAGCUCUAUCGACAUCUUGUUUCGCAACAGCUUGCCUGCUCUCAAGCUAACUCCGGUGCAGCUGAAACCAUAUGAUGCUCAGUUCUAGGGCGUCCUGCCAGGACAAAGCUCAGUACCCCUUGGCCAGAUAACGCUGCCCGUCCAGUUCAGAAUGCCAGACCACUUCCACACAAAAUUCGUCAACUUCGUGGUCGCCGACUUCGAUAGGACCUACCAUGCUAUUCUAGGCCGUCCUUCGCUCACCAAGUUCAUGGCAGUCCUGCACUAUUCAUACUUGGUCCUCAAGAUGCCAACCGAGAAGGGCAUCUUAACCAUCGGAGGCAACGUCUACACAGCAUACACCUGUGAAGAGGAAUGCUUCAAGAUCACCGAGGCAAUCGACCUCUCAAUUUGCAUGGCAGAAACAGUAGCACAAGCAGCUCAAACCCCACCCAACCAGCUCAAGCUACCCGAGCAGGAGACGCCAAGAAAAGGCACCAAGUCUAGGGAACACAAGGAAGUUCAACUGGUCGACGGCAGCCCAGAAAAGACGGCCCUCAUCGGAGCCAAUUUGGAUGCCAAAUAGGAUGACGUGCUCGUGAGGUUUCUCAGGGACAACGUAAGCAUUUUCGCAUGGAAACCUGCGGACAUGCCCGGCGUCCCACGAAGCCUGAUCGAGCACUCCUUAAACGUCUCGAAGACCGCAAGACCUAUCAAGCAAAAGCAACGAUGGUUCGCUCGUGACAAAAAGGAGGCUAUUAGGACAGAGAUUACACGGCUUUUAGUAGCCGGGUUCAUUAAAGAAGUGUAUCAUCCCGAUUGGCUAGCUAAUCCGGUCCUUGUAAGAAAAAAGAAUAAUGAAUGGAGAAUGUGCGUUGAUUACACAGAUCUCAAUAAACACUGUCCUAAAGAUCCUUUUGGUCUUUCUUACAUAGACGAGGUGGUCGACUCAACGGCCGGAUGCGAACUACUCUCCUUUUUCGAUUGUUACUCUAGUUACCACCAAAUCUCGUUAAGAGAAGACAAUCAGAUUAAAACCUCCUUCAUCACUCCUUUCGGUGCAUAUUGCUACACCACGAUGUCCUUCAGACUAAAAAACAUCGGAGCCACCUAUCAACGUGCUAUUCAGCAGUGCCUUCACGACGAGAUACACGACGACCUUGUCGAGGCUUACGUCGACGACAUUGUCGUCAAGACCAGGGACGCUAGCGCCCUGAUCGACAACCUGGACCGCACAUUUAAAGCGCUAAACAAGUACAAGUGGAAGCUUAACCCAAAAAAAUGCAUCUUUGGGGUCCCCUCUGGUAUACUGCUCGGCAACAUCGUCAGCCGCGACGGCAUACGGCCAAACCCUUCAAAAGUCAAGGCAGUACUCGAUAUGUAACCACCAGAAACGUAAAAGAUGUUCAAAAGCUCACAGGGUGCAUGGCUGCUCUCAGCCGGUUUAUCUCUAGGCCGGAAGGAAAAGGGCUUCCUUUCUUCAGGCUACUAAAAGCAUCAGAAAAAUCUUCCUGGUCAGAAGAGGCCAAUAUUGCUUUAACCCAGCUCAAAACUUUCCUCACCUCACCACCAGUUUUCACCGCACCUCAACCCAACGAGGACCUGCUCCUUUACAUAGCAGCAACUAAUCGGGUCGUCUCUACGGUGCUCGUGGUAGAGCGGGAUGAACCAGGCCAUGUCUACAAAGUCCAGAGACCAGUAUACUUCAUAAACGAAGUCCUAAACGAAUCCAAGACUACGUAUCCCCAGAUACAAAAAUUAAUCUGCGCCAUCCUAAUCACCUCAAGGAAAUUGAAGCACUACUUCGAUGGUCAUCAUGUUUUAGUUACUACGAGUUUUCCGUUGGGAGACAUCUUUCACAACAUGGACGCCAAUGGCAGAAUUGUAAAGUGUGCCAUGGAGUUAUGCCCAUUUUCGUUAGAUUUUCAAAGUCGUACAACCGUCAAGUCUCAAGCUCUGGUCGACUUCAUCGCAGAAUGGACUGAUCUCAAUGCACCUCCCUCUCCAGAUGUCUUCGAUCACUGGUCAAUGUUCUUUGACGGGUCCCUAAACAUCAAUGGCGCUGGUGCCGAAAUCCUUUUCAUCUCACCAAAAAAGGACAAACUACGCUACGUCCUUAGGAUCCUCUUUCCGGCAUCCAACAAUGUCGCCGAGUACGAAGCAUGCCUGCACGGCAUCCGAUUGGCCGUUGAACUGGGAGUCAAGCACCUUUACGUCUACGGAGAUUCUUCCCAGGUCAUUAACCAGUUAAAUAAGGUAUGGGACACCACUCAUGAGAAAAUGGAUUUGUACUGCAAAGAAAUACGGAGGUGGGAAUCAAAUUUUUAUGGCAUAGAAUACAUACACGUCGUCUGGGACAAGAAUCAAGCGGCAGAUGCGUUGUCAAAGAUAGGAUCAUCCCGGGCCCAGAUUCCGCAAGGUGUUUUCAUCCAAGACAUUGAUGCACCGAGCGUUUGAGCGGAUCUGGUCGACAAGCCACGCAACGAGGCACUGCUUGUUUGGAACGCCACUCCGACAACCAAUAGCAACGAUUGGUGUACACCUUUUGUUAAGUAUCUCUUGGACAAUUUGGGAUUUCAAGACAAAUCGGAGAACGAACGUCUUAUCCAAUAAUCCAAAAACUAUAUACUGGUCGACGGUAGACUUAUGCGCAAGAACGCAAACUCAGAAGUCUUGUUGAAAUGCAUAACACAAGAUGAUGGCAUCAAGCUGCUAGAUGACAUACACGCUGGGUCCUGUGGCAACCACGUCGCCUCUAGAACACUGGUCAGAAAAGGCUUUCCAAGCAGGUUUUUAAAAGCCAACCGCAGGCGUCGACGCCGAGAAGCUGGUCUGGCAUUGCGAAGGGUGCCAGUUCUUCGCCAAAAGGACCCAUGUACCUGCUCAUGGGAUCUAGACGAUUCCGUCGUCUUGGCCAUUCGCCUGCUGGGGUCUUGACAUGAUUGGACCAUUCAAACCAGCCCUCGGGAAUUUUAAAUUUGUGUUCGUGCUAAUUAACAAGUUCUCCAAGUGGAUCAAGUACAUGCCACUGGUCAAAGUAACCUCACAGAAGGCUGUAGAGUUUCUCAAUCAAAUCAUACACAGAUUCAGGAUUCCCAAUAGUAUAAUCACCGACCUAGGCACUCAGUUCACCGGCACUACAUUCUAGGACUUCUGUGAUGAUAGAGGCAUAGUCAUAAAAUACGUCUUGGUAGCCCAUCCUAGGGCCAAUGGGCAAGUCGAGCGAGCCAAUGGGAUGAUUAUCAAUGCACUAAAGAAAAGGCUAUACACAAAAAAUGACAGGGCGCCGGUGUGGUGGAUGAAAGAAUUACCAGCAGUGGUAUGGAGCCUCCGAACACAGCCUAGUCGAAACACGGGCGUAUCCCCCUACUUCAUGGUUUAUCGGGCUGAGGCAGUGCUCCCCUCUGACGUACCAUUCGGAUCCCCAAGAGUCGAGCAUUUCGACCAGUCUUCAGCAGACCAUGCCAGAGAACUUGAAAUUAAUUGCACAGAAGAGAAAUGGUUCGCCUCCUGCCUUCGAACAACAAAGUACCUCGAAGCCAUGAGACAGUACUACAAUAAGAACGUCAAGGAUCACUCCUUCAUGGUCGGUGAUCUGGUACUCAAGUGAAAAACAAGCCAGGAAGGAAUGCAUAGGUUAUCUACGCCCUGGGAGGGACCUUUUGUGGUCGCCGAAGUUACACGUCCUACCUCUUAUAGGAUGGCUUACCCGGACGGAACAAGCCUGCCCAACUCUUGGCACAUAGACAAACUACAAUGUUUCUACCGCUAAGAUUCAGUACAUCUUACUUGUAUCUUUUUCUGAUGAAUAAUAACAAAGUUUGUCUUCUUGCUGUAUAUUUCUACAUAUGCAGAAUACUCGACAAGCACGACAACAUCUUUCCUCGACAAGUCAUGCAACGAAAUCACUCAAUGAUACUUGACAUAAUUCAGUGAUACAUCACUCAGAUAACUUAUGUACAGCGCUCAAAACAAUGGUUCUAAAAACCUGACUUUAUUACAAAAUUUAUAAACAAAGUUUACAAUAAACACCUCUCUAGAUGGUUUCUUGUCUAUCCCUACAGACUAUUCUAUUGAGCCUACCGCUCGGAUCGCUCGUCCGCACGAGCUUCUUGUGCCAUCGAAGGGGUUGGGGCCACCGGCGUCUAGCUGGUCGAGACCGCAGGCGUCGACCGCCCAUCUCCUGCAAUCGCCGCCCACGACAACUCCCUAGCCGACCUGUCCGACCCUGGCUGAUCGAGGGGAGUAGACGUCCCACAAAGGUUUAUGUCGCCGAUCACCGUCGACGACAGGUCGAGCAGGCCGACGCGAAGGUCAUCCGCCUCCUUCGGACCAACCUCCUUGGGGUAUCCCCUUUCUGGCCGGGAUAGGUCGACUAGGGGGUAGUGAGCGCGCACCAUGCUGAGGACAUGCGCUCCGGCGAACUCCCCAGCAUCCUUCACGAACUGCUGAAGCCAGUCCCAUGCCUGCUGUGCCUUCUUGACUGGGGUCAGCCUCGGUGCACGGGGCUGGUCCUCAGAGAGCUCGGGGCUGAUUAGAUCCAGCACCAGAGCGACCCCCUUCCAGAGCUUUUAUGUAGUUCGUCUUCCAGGACUCUCGGUCUUUCACCAGGUCCUCGACGUGCUUCUUGGUGUUGGCCUUGAGCACUAUGACAUGUUCCAAGCAAAAAUUAAAGCAUAUAGUCAACAACAUGCCAUGCCAAUAAAUAUUUAGUGAUCAGAAAGGUCGAAGUGGAUCGUACCAAUUAGCUCCCGAUUCCUGGCUUUGAGCUCCUCACCCGCCUUAUGCUCGCCUUCUAGCGCACGAGCAUGCUCCUAGCUAAGCUGGUCUUUCUCCUUUUGAAGACACUCGAUCUCCUCCUCCAAACCUGAAGUAAUAAUUGUUUGUCAUAAGCAUCGACCACGUAGUUAACUACAACUACCUAGAAACUUGACUUACUCCUCUUCUCGUGAUCCUUAUCGGCUAGUCGCCGAGUAAGGUCCAGCAUACGCACUUCCUGAGCCGCCUUCUCUUUGCAUCCUUCUCAGCCUCUGACCGAAGGCGGUCCACCUCUGCGGUCAGGAUUUUGUUUUCGGCUACAACCCCCUCAAUCUCGUUGAAGCACCUUUUUCGGUACUUUUGCCAUUUUCAUUGCGUCCUGCGGGAAUUAAACAUACCACACAGUGAACAAACCAUGGUAUAUAUAUACUCCAGCAGAAUAUAAGACCACUCACCUUAACUUCAUUGACAAGCCGCUUGGCAGCACGCUCUACCCUCUCUGCCUCCUCGGUCUCGGCAAUCUCCUUGUGGCCGGCCCAGUGGUCCCCACAUUGGCGCCAUACGUAAAUGUGUUGGCGACCAUCGUGGGGACGCCUCUAGAUUUCCUCCACUUCAUCAUUAGAGGUCGCUUGAGCUUCCCCGCCUUUUGUGCUACCCCCAGCCACGGUAACGGGUAUCAUAGGACCCUUACCUCGGUUAGGAGAGCCCUCCUGCGUGGGAGUCACCGCCGGAGUCGGAGAUGGGGCCUUGCCUUCUUCAACUGGAGCAGGGGAUGGGAUUUCAUGUCCCUCCUCUGCCACGCUGCUCGGGGGAGGAGUCCCCACGGUGGCAUCACCCCUUGUCGGGGUGCUCACCCCGGCCCAACCGCGGGCCGGGUCCUCGUCGGCCACCUCCGUCGUAGCGACAACGGCGGGCUGCUCCACAGGCUGCUCUGUGGCAGUCUGUCGCACGACGCUCUGCUCGGUGGCCACCGGCUCAGGUGUUCUCGAGCUCAAAACAUUGCCAGGAUCAAAAUCCGAGGCAGUACUACAAGGAAAACCCAAUCCAGAGUUACUACACCAAAAUUCAAACCUACGAAAAAAGGAACUUCUCUUGAUAAACUUACAGAUCAGAACUUCUGUGCGCCGCAGUGAAGACCAUUCUCCUGGCUCGCCCAGCAGCCACCACCGCUUCUGUUCCCCCAGGUCAUGCCUGCUCGACAUGCGCGGCAAGCGGGUCCUCGGCAACACGACCACCGUCGCCCGAGGUGACAUCGGGGCGGCUGCGGGGCCUGCGGAUCAAGGUUGGAGCCGCCUCCUCCUCAUCAUCGUUCUCGAUGAUCCUAACAAGCCGUAGGCGCUUGGGCGCUCGGAUGUCAGAAGUCAACCCCUGUAGGUGCUGCUCCAACUGAAGAUGGCUCAACUAUCACAGGGCCUGCAGCUUCCCCUGUAGGUGCUGCUCCAACUGAAGAUGGCUCCACUAUCAUCGGCCUCUUUCCAGCCAACCUGUCGUCGGUGGUCGGAGCUGGCCGAAUCUCUCCUUCGUCGCUACUGGUGUACUGUUCACACCGAGCAGCGUCAUCCGCUGGGGGAUCCAUUCCGGCCGGGUGCUCCACAUCGCGCGCUAGCGACACAUAUACCGUCACCCGGUCCACGUCUCCGAUCUACAACAUAAGUACGACAAGGCAUUAGCAAAAGAAUGCGAUACUAUUAGAACAUUGCAGAAGGACUACAAUUACCUUGGGAGCUGGCCGACCCAUCUUGUAGGCAUGCAUCUGGUUGUCGCUUCUUACGAAGCUACUGUCUCCCAAGUUGAACAGCUCGUUGGUCCUUUGCUGGAUCUCUGAUUUCUCCAGGUUGUCUCGACGUAGUCUGGUCGAAUCUUGCCCACCCUGGUACUCAUACGUGGCAUGCACCCUUUUCUGAUAGGGCAUAACUCGUCGGGCGAGGAAAUUCAUGACCACACCUAGUCUAUCCAGGUGUGACCAGUCGAUAAGACCCAUCAGCUCUGACACCUGACCACUGAAUUCUGGUCGAUUCGUCUAACUAGUCCUCUUCUCGAGGACGUAACCAACGUCACAGAACAUAGCGCUGCCUGGCUCUUCCCUGAUGUAGAACCACCUCUUAUACCAUUCAGUGAGGGAGGUGUUCCAUGAGGAGCUGAGGUACCGAUUCUUCAUGCCAUCACGAAGAUUGAGGUAUACUCCACCUGCAAUCUUGGAGCCUCCAACCGCUCUCUUCUUCCUCAAGCAGAAUAGGUAGCGGAAGAGAUCAAAGUGCGACUCUAUCCCAACAUAGGCCUCGCACAAAUGAAUGAAAGUGGAAACAAGAAGAAUGGAGUUGGGAUGCAGAUUGCAAAUCUCAAUCUCAUAAUAAAGAAGAAGGCCUUGAAGAAACAGAUGAACAAGCAUCCCAAAUCCCCUCUUGAAAGAAUCUUCAAAAACAACGAUCUCACUAGCUCGGGGAUCCGGGUAACUCUCCCCUUCUGACGCCCUCCAGCUGCCAAGCUCCUAGUCAUGCAGAAGCCCCAUCUGGACGAGGUCAUUGAGGGACCUCGUGGUGCUCUGGGAUUUUUCCAUUCCUUGGCCAUCAUCUCGGCCCUUUUCUUCGAGUCACUCUUCGCCAUUCCUACUGCGCGGAGAGCUUUGAACUGCGUGUUGAGUGGUUGAAGGUGCUAAGGAGGACGAUAGCAGGAGGCAAGAGGUAGGAUACUGGUAUGCAACUGCUGGGUAAUGAACAAGGGCACAAUAUCGGGCUCUAUAUAGUACCAAACCCAACUUUUCCAUUUUCUACAUUUUGGGGAAGUGGGGGGUUUUUGCGGCGAGUGCGGCAUUUCGGUUUUCAAGGAUUAUCGUAGUAAAUUCGGUGGCUCUUUUAAAAAUGAUUGUUGGUUUCCUUUUCUUGAUCCGUGCGAUGAGUGGCUGUGCAGUUAGCAGGAACCCCUUUUUAUGCGACAGACUGACAAGAUGGUAGGAUGCCCUAUCACAUCGCAAAUUAAUGCGGCGAUAUGAUGUUUUCAAAAGCAAAGUACUUAAUUUGAUCGGUUCAUCCGAAAGUCUGGGGACUGCACCGACCACCGAGCAUGAUAUGCUCGGGGACUGGUCGACCAGCCUGCUCAUUUUAAUGUCUGGGGACUGUACCGACCACUGAGCAUGAUAUGCCCAAGGACUAUUUGACCAGCCUGCUCAACUAAAAGUCUGGGACUGUACUAACCACUGAGCAUAAUAUGCUCGGGGACUGGUCGACCAGCUUGCUCAUUUGAAUGUCUGGGGACUGUACCGACCACUGAGCAUGAUAUGCUCGGGGACUGGUUGACCAGCCCGCUCAUCUGAAAGUCUGGGGACUGUAUCGACCACCGAGCAUGAUAUGCUCAGGGACUGGUCGACCAACAUCCUCAUUUGAAAGUCCGGGGACUGUACCGACCACCGAGCAUGAUACGCUCGGGGACUGGUCGAUCAGUCUGCUCAAUUGCAAACAAUGUCUAAAUGGGUGAUUUUAACUUUUUAGACCUUGCUACAAGGCUCAUACUUCGCCUUCCAGCAAGCUCGGGGACUACAUCGGUACGAUGCAUCUGGCGAUGCAUCUCAGUUUUCUCUUUUCUACGAAGGAUUUCCUCUUUAGACCCUGGCAUCACGUGACUACGUCACCUAUUACCAGGCUCGGGGACUAAGUGGGCACACUUCACUUUGCAGUGAAUUUGCUUGCUUUUUGAAAGUCUAUACUUCAGAAAAGAAAAGUGAGCACACUUUAUUAGGGAAGAAAUAUUUUUCAAUUAAGAGCACCAUGCAUUCUUCGAACAAUCUGCUUCUUCGAUGUUGAUGUUGAUCAACUGGUUUUCAAAUUGGUUAAAAUACCAUUGCAACUGUUCGGGCGACUUUCCUGGUUGUCGAAGACGUCAAGCCUCACUUGUCGAAGAAGCUCAAGGCGGCGUGUUACAUCACAAUACACGGUGCUCGGGGACUAGCUGUGGGGGUAUAAACCCCUAUACCCUUACGGCUAGACCUGGGCCAGGAGACUUGGCCCAUCACGACACAGUUUGACGCUUGAUCCAACUGCUCAGAGUUUCGCGGAUGGAAACAAGACGUGGAGAUCAAGCAAGAUUCUAGUCGGUUAGAAUAGGAUUUGAUAUCGUAUUAUCUAUAGCAACUGUAACCGACUAGGAUUAGUUUCCAGAUCUGUAACCCUGCCCUCUGGACUAUAUAAAGAGAGGCAAGGGACCCCCCAUAGACAACAAAACUCAACACAAUUUGACCCACAGCAAUACAAUCAGACGCAGGACGUAGGUAUUAGGCCCACACGGCGGCCGAACCUGGAUAAAAAUCCUUGUCUGUGUCUUGCGUCACCAUCAAGUUCGUAGCUUGCACACCUAUUUGCCGAUAAACUACUACCGUGGGUAUAUCACAAGGUAGACUGCCGACCAGCUUUCGUCGACAAAGGGUGGCCCGAUCUUCCGAAAGGUUCUGGAAACUCUCGAUUUGGUGGAGACGAGAUACAAAUCGAUCUGGCUUCCGAACCACACGAUCCGAAAUCCUGCAAUAUUUUUUAAAACUUUUUGAUAUUUUUCUUUUACUUAGGAGCACUAAAGAAGUAACCAUAGAAAAAUUGAGCUUAAACAAGUGAAAGACGUGGCCUACGGAAUUUUCUGAAGAUUGCGAAAAAUGUGAAACAAACUUCACGAGGUGAAAACUCAAACUUCGGAGGCGAAUUUGGAGAUUCUAAAAAUUUCAAACCCACCAAUGCUGCACAGAUUCAAAUUUUUUUCCAAUCGAUUUUGAUAUAUGGAACAUUGAAAUCGGAGUUCGUAUGCUGAAAGUUAUGGCUGUUUUACGAACGAACUCCGAAUUAGAGGACAAAACGGUUCAAAAGUGGGAAAAAUUUGCGGCAGUGGCUAGAAAUUGAUGGAAAACGGUGGGGAAAACACAUGAACUAGACCCUAACAAGACCUAACCAGCAAUAAAACCUCGACCAGGACACAAACUCAACAUUGCGGACUCUGAAACUGAAAUAUGCAAAGGCUAUGACACGGAAGGUUUGUGGGACACGAAAACGAUAUGGCAUUGGACUUAUGGGACGCACAUAAGAACACUCGAAACUAAGGGUAGAUGUGAACCUAACGGUAUACCUAAAGCUUUGAUUACCACUUCAUGAGAACAAGGGUGGCCCAAUCUUCCGAAAGGUUCUGGUAAGUCUUGAUUUGGUGGAGACGAGACACAAAUCGAUCCGGCUUCCGAACAACACGAUCCGAAACCCUACAAUUUUUUUAAAAUUUUUUUUGAUAUUUUUAUUUUAUUUAGAAGCACUAAAGAAGUAACCAUAGAAAAUUUGAGCUUAAACAAGUGAAAGACGUCGCCUGCGGAAUUUUCUGAAGAUUGCAAAAAUGUGAAAAAAACUUCAUGAGGUGAAAACUUAAACUUUGGAGGCGAAUUUAGAGAUUCUAAAAUUUCCAAACCCGCCAGUUCCAGGGAUAGACAGAUCCAAAAUUUUUUUCUGAUCGAUUUUGAUAUAUGGAACAUUGAAAUCGGAGUUCGUAUGCGAAAGUUAUGGCUGUUUUAUGAAUGGACUCUAAAUUAGAGGACAAAAUGGUCCGAAAGUGUGAAAAAUUUACGGCGGUGGCUAGAAAUUGAUUGAAAAGGUGGGGAAAAAUACAUGAGCUAGAAUCUAACAAGACCUAACCAGCAACAAGACCUCAACUAGGACACAAACUCAAUACUGUGGACUCUGAAACUGGAAUAUGCAAAGGCUAUGGCACGGAAGGGUUGUAGGACAGGAAACGAUAUAACACUGGACUUAUGGAACAAACACAAGAACACUCGAAACUAAGGGUAGAUGUGAACCUAACAGUAUAUCUGAAGCUUUGAUUACCACUUGAUGAGAACAAGGGUGGCCGGAUCUUUCGAAAGGUUCUGGUAACUGUUGAUUUGGUAGAGACGAGACACAAAUUGAUCCAGCUUCCGAACAACACGAUCCGAAACCCUACAAUUUUUUCAUUUUUUUGAUAUUUUGAUUUUACUUAGGAGCACUAAAGAAGUAACCACAGAAAAUUUGAGCUUAAGUAAGUGAAAGACGUCGCCUGCGGAAUUUUCUGAAUAUUGCAAAAAAUGUGAAAAAAAUUGACGAGGUGAAAACUCAAACCUCGGAGUCGAAUUUGGAUACUAAAAUUUUCAAACCCACCAGUGGCCGAGACAGACAGAUCCAAAAAAUUUUUCACAUCGAUUUUGAUAUAUGGAACAUUGAAAUCAGAGUUCGUAUGUGAAAGCUAUGGCUGUUUUACAAACGGACUCCAAAUUAGAGGAUAAAACGGUUCGAAACACUGCAGACUCUGAAACUGAAAUAUGCAAAGGCUAUGACGCGGAAGGGCUGUAGGACAGGAAAACAAUAUGGUACCGGACUUACGGGACGAACACAAGAACACUCGAAACUAAGGGUAGAUGUAAACCUAACGGUACUGAAGCUUUGAUUACCACUUGAUGAGAACAAGGGUGGCCCGAUCUUCCGAAAGGUUCUGGUAACUCUCGAUUUGGUGGAGACGAGAUACAAAUCGAUCUGGCUUCCGAACAACACGAUCUGAAACCCCGCAAUUUUUUUUUUAAUUUUUUGAAUAUUUUUCUUUUACUUAGGAGCACUAAAGAAGUAACCAGAUAAAAUUUGAGCUUAAACAAGUGAAAGACGUCAUCUGCGGAAUUUUCUGAAGAUUGCGAAAAAUAUGAAAAAAACAUCACGAGAUGAAAACUCAAACUUUGGAGGAAAAUUUGGAGAUUCUAAAAUUUUCAAACCCGCCAGUUCCAAGGAUAGACAGAUCCGAAUUUUUUUUCUGAUCGAUUUUGAUAUAUGGAACAUUGAAAUCAGAGUUCGUAUGUGAAAGUUAUGGCUGUUUUAUGCAUGGACUCUAAAUUAGAGGACAAAAUGGUCCGAAAGUGUGAAAAAUUUAGGAGCACUAAAGAAGUAACCAGAGAAAAUUUGAGCAUAAAUAAGUGAAAGACGUCGCCAGCGGAAUUUUCUGAAGAUUGCAAAAAAUGUGAAAAAAAACUUGACGAGGUGAAAACUCAAAUUUUGGAGGCGAAUUUGGAGAUUCUAAAAUUUUCAAACCCGCCAGUUCCAAGGAUAGGCAGAUCCAAAAUUUUUUCUCAUCGAUUUUGAUAUAUGGAACAUUGAAAUCGGAGUUCGUAUGUGAAAGUUAUGGCUAUUUUAUGAUUGGACUCUUAAAUAGAGAACAAAAUGGUCCGAAAGUGUGAAAAAUUUACGGCGGCGGCUAGAAAUUGAUGGAAACGGUGGAAAAAAAAUACAUGAACUGGACUUAACAAGACCUAACCAGCAACAAGACCUCAACCAGAACACAAACUCAACACUGUAGACUCUGAAACUGAAAUAUGCAAAGGCUAUGACGCGGAAGGGUUGUAGGAUAGGAAAACGAUACGGCACUGGACUUAUAGGACGAACACAAGAACACUCGAAACUAAGGGUAGAUGUGAACCUAACAGUAUACCUGAAGCCAGUUGUUGAGAACAAGGGGCCCGAUCUUCCAAAAGGUUCUGGUUACUCUCGAUUUGGUGGAAACAAGACACAAAUCGAUCCGGCUUCUGAACAACACGAUCCGAAACCCUAUAAUUUUUUAUUAUUUUGACAUUUUUCUUUUACUUAGAAGCAAUAAAGAUGUAACCGCAGAAAAUUUGAGCUUAAACAAGUGAAAGACGUGGCCUGCGGAAAUUUCUGAAGAUUGCGAAAAAUGUGAAAAAAAUUGACGAGGUGAAAACUCAAACUUCGGAGGCAAAUUUGGAGAUACUAAAAUUAUCAAACCCACCAAUGGCGGGGACAGACAGAUCCAAAAUUUUUUCCUAAAUGAUUUUGAUAUAUGGAACAUUGAAAUCGGAGUUCGUAUGUGAAAGUUAUGGCUGUUUUACGACCGGACUCCGAAUUAGGGGACAAAACAGUUUGAAAGUGGGAAAAAUUUGCGGCGGUGGCUAGAAAUUGAUGGAAAACGGUAUAGGAAAAACACAUGAACUACUCUAGCAAGACCUAACCAGCAACAAGACCUCAACCAGGACACAAACUCAACACUACGGACUCUGAAACUGAAAUAUGCAAAGGGUAUGACGCGGAAGGGUUGUAGGACAGGAAAACGAUAUCGCACUGGACUUAUGGGAGGAACACAAGAACACUCGAAACUAAGGGUGAUGUCUAACAGUAUACCUGAAGCUUUGAUUACCACUUGAUGAGAAUAAGGGUGGCCCGAUUUUCCGAAAGGUUCUGGUAACUCUCGAUUUGGUGGAGACGAGAUACAAAUCGAUCCGGCUUUCGAACAACACGAUCCGAAACCCUGCAAUUUUUUUUUUGAAAAUUUUCUUUUACUUAGGAGCAAUAAAUAAGUAACCACAGAAAAAUUGAGCUUAAACAAGUGAAAGACGUGGCCUGCAGAAAUUUCUGAACAUUGCGAAAAAUGUGAAAAAAAUCACAAGGUGAAAACUCAAAUUUCGGAGGUGAAUUUGGAGAUACUAAAAUUUUCAAACCCACCAAUGGCGGAGACAGACAGAUCCAAAAAUUUUUCUGACACGAUUUUGAUAUAUGGAUAAUUGAAAUCGGAGUUCGUAUGUGAAAGUUAUGGCUGUUUUACGAAUGAGAUCCGAAUUAGAGGACAAAACGGUUCAAAAGUGGGAAAAAAUUUGCAGCGAUGACUAGAAAUUGAUGGAAAACGGUGGGGAAAACACACGAACUAGACUCUAACAAGACCUAACCAGCAACAAAACCUCGACAAAGACACAAACUCAACACUGCAGACUCUCAAACUGAAAUAUGCAAAGGCUAUGACGCGGAAGGGUUGUAGGACAGGAAAACGAUAUGGCACUGGAAUUACGGAACGAAGACAAGAACACUCGAAACUAAGGGUAGAUGUGAACCUAACGGUAUAACUGAAGCUUUGAUUACCACCUGAUGAGAACAAGGGUGGCCUGAUCUUAUGAAAUGUUCUGGUAACUCUCGAUUUUGUGGAGACGAGAUACAAAUCGAUCCGGCUUCCAAACAACACGAUCCGAAACCCUACAUUUUUUUUAAUUUUUUUGAUAUUUUUCUUUUACUUAGGAGCACUAAAGAAGUAACCAGAGAAAAAAUUUGAGCUUAAACAAGUGAAAGACGUCGCCUGCGGAAUUUUCUGAAGAUUGCAAAAAAAGUGAAAAAAUUGACGAGGUGAAAACUCAAACCUUGGAGUCGAAUUUGGAGAUACUAAAAUUUUCAAACCCACCAGUGGCAGAGACAGAUAGAUCUAAAAUUUUUUUUUCAUCGAUUUUGAUAUAUGGAACAUUGAAAUUGGAGUUCGUAUGUGAAAGUUAUGGCUGUUUUACAAACGGACUCCGAAUUAGAGGACAAAACGGUUCGAAAGUGGGAAAAAUUUGCGGCGGUGGCUAGAAAUUGAUGGAAAACGGUGGGGAAAAACACACGAACUGGACCCUAGCAAGAACCAGCAACAAGACCUUGACCAGGACACAAACUCAACACUGCGGACUCUGAAACUGAAAUAUGCAAAAGCUAUGAUGCGGAAGAGUUGUAGGACAGGAAAACGAUCUGGCGCUGGACUUACGGGACAAACACAAGAACACUCGAAACUAAGGCUAGAUGUGAACCUAAUGGUAUACUUGAAGCUUUGAUUACCACUUGGUGAGAACAAGGGUGGCCCGAUCUUCCGAAAGGUUCUGGUAACUCUCGAUUUGGUGGAGACGAGAUACAAAUCGAUCCGGCUUCCAAACAACACGAUCCGAAACCCUGUAUUUUUUUUAAUUUUUUUGAUAUUUUUAUUUUACUUAGGAGCACUAAAGAAGUAACUAGAGAAAAUUUGAGCUUAAACAAGUGAAAGACGUCACCUGCGGAAUUUUGUGAAGAUUGCGAAAAAUAAGAAAAAAAAACUUCACGAGGUGAAAACUCAAAUUUUGGAGGAAAAUUUGGAGAUUCUAAAAUUUUCAAACCCGCCUGUUCCAAGGAUAUACAGAUCCAAUUUUUUUUUGAUCGAUUUUGAUAUAUGGAACAUUGAAAUCGGAGUUCUUAUGUGAAAGUUAUGGCUGUUUUAUGAAUGGACUCUAAAUUAGAGGACAAAAUGGUCCGCAAGUGUGAAAAAUUUACGGCGGCGGCUAGAAAUUGAUGGAAACGGUGGGGAAAAAAUACGUGAACUGGACUACAACAAGACCUAACCAGCAACAAGACCUCAACUAGGACACAAACUCAACACUGUAGACUUUGAAACUGAAAUAUGCAAAGGCUAUGGCGCGGAAGGGUUGUAGCAUAGGAAAACGAUAUGGCACUGGACUUAUGGGACGAAUACAAGAACACUCGAAAUUAAGGGUAGAUGUGAACCUAACAGUAUACCUAAAGCUUUGAUUACCAGUUGAUGAGAACAAGGGUGGCCCGAUCUUCCAAAAGGUUCUGGUAACUCUCGAUUUGGUGGAGACAAGACACAAAUCGAUCCGGCUUCUGAACAACACGAUCCGAAACCCUACAAUUUUUUUAUUUUUUGAUAUUUUUCUUUUACUUAGGAGCAAUAAAGAAGUAACCGCAGAAAAUUUGAGCUUAAACAUGUGAAAGACAUGGCCUGCAGAAAUUUCGGAAGAUUGCGAAAAAUGUGAAAAAAAUUGACGAGGUGAAAACUCAAACUUUGGAGGCGAAUUUGGAGAUACUAAAAUUUUCAAACCCACCAAUGUCAGAGACACACAGAUCCAAAAUUUUGUUCUAAUCAAUUUUGAUAUAUGGAACAUUGAAAUCGGAGUUCGUAUGUGAAAGUUAUGGCUGUUUUACGAACGGACUCCGAAUUAGAGGACAAAACGGUUCGAAAGUGGGAAAAAUUUGCGGCGGUGGCUAGAAAUUGGUGGAAAAUGGUGGGGAAAAACACACGAACUGGACUCUAGCAAGACCUAACCAGCAAUAAGACCUCGACUAGGACACAAACUCAACACUACGGACUCUGAAACUGAAAUAUGCAAAGGCUAUGACGCGGAAGGGUUGUAGGACCGGAAAAUGAUAUGGCAUUGGACUUACGGGACGAACACAAGAACACUUGAAACUAAGAGUAGAUGUGAACCUACAUGUGAACCUAACGGUGUACCUGAAGUUUUGAUUACCACUUGAUGAGAAAAAAGGUGGCCCGAUCUUCCGAAAGUUUCUGGUAACUCUCGAUUUGGUGGAGACGAGAUACAAACCGAUCCGGCUUCCGAGCAACACGAUCAGAAACCCUGCAAAUUUUUUUAUUUUUUUGAUAUUUUUAUUUUACUUAGGAGCACAAAAGAAGUAACCAUAGAAAAUUUGAGCUCAAACAAGUGAAAGACGUGGCCUUUAGAAAUUUCUGAAGACUGCGAAAAAUGUAAAAAAACACGAGGUGAAAACUCAAAUAUUGGAGGUGAAUUUGGAGAUACUAAAAUUUUCAAACCCACCAAUGGUGGAGACAGAUAGGUCCAAAAUUUUUUUCUGACACAAUUUUGAUAUAUGAAACAUUGAAAUCGGAGUUCGUAUGCGAAAGUUAUUGCUAUUUUACGAAUGGGGUCUGAAUUAGAGGACAAAACGGUUCGAAAUUGGGAAAAAUUUGCGGCGGUGGCUAGAAAUUGAUGGAAAACGGUGAGGAAAAACACACGAACUAGACUCUAACAAGACCUAACCAGCAACAAGACCUCGACCAGGACACAAACUCAACACUGCGGACUCUCAAACUGAAAUAUGCAAAGGCUAUGACGCGGAAGGGUUGUAGGACAGGAAAACGAUAUUGCACUGGACUUACGGGACGAACACAAGAACACUCGAAACUAAGGGUAGAUGUGAACCUAACGGUAUACCUGAAGCUUUGAUUACCACUUGAUGAGAGCAACGGUGGCCUGAUCUUAUGAAAUGUUCUGGUAAAUCUCGAUUUGGUGGAGACGAGAUACAAAUCGAUCCAGCUUCCAAACAACACGAUCCGAAACCCUGCAUUUUUUUUAAUUUCUUUGAUAUUUUUCUUUUACUUAGGAGCACUAAUUUAGUAACCAGAGAAAAUUUGAGCUUAAACAAGUGAAAGACGUGGGCUGCGGAAUUUUCUGAAGAUUGAGAAAAAUGUGAAAUAAACUUCACGACGUGAAAACUCAAAUUUCGGAGGCGAAUUUGGAGAUUCUAAAAUUUUCAAACCCGCCCGAGCCAGAGACAGACAAAUCUGAAAAUUUUUUCUCAUCGAUUUUGAUAUAUGGAACAUUGAAAUCGGAGUUCGUAUGUGAAAGUUAUGGCUGUUUUACAAACGGACUCCGAAUUAGAGGACAAAACGGUUCGAAAGUGGGAAAAAUUUGCGGCGGUGGCUAGAAAUUGAUGGAAAACGGUGGAGAAAAACACACGAACUGGACUCUAGCAAGACCUAACCAGCAACAAAACCUCGACCAGGACACAAACUCAACACUGCGGACUCUGAAACUGAAAUAUGCAAAGGCUAUGACGCGGAAGGGUUGUAGGACACGAAAACGAUAUGGCACUGGACUUACGGGACGAACACAAGAACACUCGAAACUAAGGGUAGAUGUGAACCUAACGGUAUACCUGAAGCUUUGAUUACCACUUGAUGAGAACAAGGGUGGCCCGAUCUUCCGAAAGGUUGUGGUAACUCUCGAUUUGGUGGAGACGAGAUACAAAUCGAUCCGGCUUCCAAACAACACGGUCCGAAACCCUGCAAUUUUUUUUAAUUUUUUUGAUAUUUUUCUUUUACUUAGGAGCACUAAAGAAGUAACUAGAGAAAAUUUGAGCUUAAACAAGUGAAAGACGUCGCCUGUGGAAUUUUCUGAAGAUUGCGAAAAAUAUGAAAAAAAACUUCACGAGGUGAAAACUCAAAUUUUGGAGGAACAUUUGGAGAUCCUAAAUUUUCUAACCCACAAGUUCCAAGGAUAGACAGAUCCAAAUUUUUUUCUGAUCGAUUUUGAUAUAUGGAACAUUGAAAUCGGAGUUCGUAUGUGAAAGUUAUGGCUGUUUUAUGAAUGGACUCUAAAUUAGAGGACAAAAUGGUCCGAAAGUGUGAAAAAUCUACGGCAGCGGCUAGAAAUUGAUGGAAACGGUGGGAAAAAUACAUGAACUGGACUCUAACAAAACCUGACCAGCAACAAGACCUCAACCAGGACACCAACUCAACACUGUAGACUCUGAAACUGAAAUAUGCAAAGGCUAUGGCGCGUAAGGGUUGUAGGAUAGGAAAACAAUAUUGCACUGGACUUACGGGACGAACACAAGAACACUCGAAACUAAGGGUAGAUGUGAACCUAACGGUAUACCUGAAGCUUUGAUUACCACUUGAUGAGAGCAAGGGUGGCCUGAUCUUAUGAAAUGUUCUGGUAACUCUCGAUUUGGUGGAGACGAGAUAUAAAUCGAUCUGGCUUCCAAACAACACGAUCCGAAACCCUGCAUUUUUUUUAAUUUAUUUGAUAUUUUUCUUUUACUUAGGAGCACUAAAGAAGUAACCAGAGAAAAUUUGAGCUUAAACAAGUGAAAAGUGAAAGACGUGGCCUGCGGAAUUUUCUGAAGAUUGAGAAAAAUGUGAAAUAUACUUCACGACGUGAAAACUCAAAUUUCAGAGGCGAAUUUGGAGAUUCUAAAAUUUUCAAACCUGACUGGGGCGGAGACAGACAGAUCCAAAAAAAAUUUCUGACACAAUUUUGAUAUAUGGAACAUUGAAAUCAGAGUUCGUAUGCGAAAGUUAUUGCUAUUUUACGAAUGGGAUCCGAAUUAGAGGAUAAUACGGUUCGAAAGUGGGAAAAAUUUGCGGCGGUGGCUAGAAAGUGAUGGGGAAAACACACGAACUGGACUCUAACAAGACCUAACCAGCAACAAUACCUCGACCAGGACACAAACUCAACACUGCAUACUCUCAGACUGAAAUAUGCAAAGGCUAUGACGCUGAAGGGUUGUAGGACAGGAAAACGAUAUGGCACUGGACUUACGGGACGACCACAAGAACACUCGAAACUAAAGGUAGAUGUGAACCUAACGGUAUACCUGAAGCUUUCAUAUUUUUCUUUUACUUAGGAGCACUAAAGAAGUAACCAGAGAAAACUUGAGCUUAAACAAGUGAAAGACAUGGCCUGCGGAAUUUUCUGAAAAUUGCGAAAAAUGUCAAAUAAACUUCACGAGGUGAAAACUCAAAUUUUGGGGGCAAAUUUGGAGAUUCUAAAAUUUUCAAACAUGCCAGUUCCAAGGAUAGACAGAUCCAAAAUUUUUUCUGAUCGAUUUUGAUAUAUGGAAAAUUGAAAUUGGAGUUCGUAUGUGAAAGUUAUGGCUGUUUUAUGAAUGAACUCUAAAUUAGAGGACAAAAUGGUCCGUAAGUGUGAAAAAUUUACGGCGGUGGCUAGAAAUUGAUGGAAACGUUGGGGAAAAAUACAUGAACUGGACUCUAACAAGACCUAACCAGCAACAAGACCUCAACCAGGACACAAACUCAACACUGUAGACUCUGAAACUGAAAUAUGGAAAGGCUACGGCGCGGAAGGGUUGUAGGAUAGGAAAACGAUAUGGCACUGGACUUAUGGGACGAACACAAGAACACUCGAAAUUAAGGGUAGAUGUGAACCUAACAGUAUACCUGAAGCUUUGAUUACCAGUUGAUGAGAACAAGGGUGGCCCGAUCUUCCAAAAGGUUCUGGUAACUCUCGAUUUGGUGGAGACAAGACACAAAUCGAUCCGGCUUCUGAACAACACGAUCCGAAACCCUACAAUUUUUUUAUUUUCUUGAUAUUUUUCUUUUACUUAGGGGCAAUAAAGAAGUAACCGCAGAAAAUUUGAGCUUAAACAAGUGAAAGACGUGGCCUGCAGAAAUUUCUGAAGAUUGCGAAAUAUGUGAGAAAAAUUGAUGAGGUGAAAACUCAAACUUUGGAGGCCAAUUUGGAGAUACUAAAAUUUUCAAACCCAUCGAUGUCAGAGACACACAGAUCCAAAUUUUUUUUCUAAUCGAUUUUGAUAUAUGGAACAUUGAAAUCGGAGUUCGUAUGUGAAAGUUAUGGCUGUUUUACGAACGGACUCCGAAUUAGAGGACAAAACGGUUCGAAAGUGGGAAAAAUUUGCGGCGGUGGCUAGAAAUUGAUGGAAAACGGUGGGGAAAAACACACGAACUGGACUCUAGCAAGACCUAACCAGCAACAAGACCUCGACCAGGACACAAACUCAACACUACGGACUCUGAAACUGAAAUAUGCAAAGGCUAUGACGCGGAAGGGUUGUAGGACAGGAAAACGAUAUGGCACUGGACUUACGAGACGAACACAAGAACACUCGAAACUAAGGGUAGAUGUGAACCUAACGGUAUACCUGAAGUUUUGAUUACCACUUGAUGAGAAAAAAGGUGGCCCGAUCUUCCGAAAGUUUCUGGUAACUCUCGAUUUGGUGGAGACGAGAUACAAACCGAUACGGCUUCUGAGCAACAUGAUCAGAAACCCUGCAAUUUUUUUUAUUUUUUUGAUAUUUUUAUUUUACUUAGGAGCACAAAAGAAGUAACCAUAGAAAAUUUGAGCUCAAACAAGUGAAAGACGUGGCCUGUAGAAAUUUCUGAAGAUUGCGAAAAAUGUAAAAAAAACACGAGGUGAAAACUCAAAUAUUGGAGGUGAAUUUGGAGAUACUAAAAUUUUCAAACCCACCAAUGGUGGAGACAGAUAGGUCCAAAAUUUUUUUCUGACACGAUUUUGAUAUAUGAAACAUUGAAAUCGGAGUUCGUAUACGAAAGUUAUGGCUGUUUUACUAAUGGGGUCUGAUUAGAGGACAAAACGGUUCGAAAUUGGGAAAAAUUUGCGGCGGUGGCUAGAAAUUGAUGGAAAACGGUGAGGAAAAACACACGAACUAGACUCUAACAAGACCUAACCAGCAACAAGACCUCGACCAGGACACAAACUCAACACUGCGGACUCUCAAACUGAAAUAUGCAAAGGCUAUGACGCGGAAGGGUUGUAGGACAGGAAAACGAUAUUGCACUGGACUUACGGGACGAACACAAGAACACUCGAAACUAAGGGUAGAUGUGAACCUAACGGUAUACCUGAAGCUUUGAUUACCACUUGAUGAGAGCAAGGAUGGCCUGAUCUUAUGAAAUGUUCUGGUAACUCUCGAUUUGGUGGAGACGAGAUAUAAAUCGAUCCGGCUUCCAAACAACACGAUCCGAAACCCUACAUUUUUUUAAUUUCUUUGAUAUUUUUCUUUUACUUAGGAGCACUAAAGAAGUAACUAGAGAAAACUUGAGCUUAAACAAGUGAAGGACAUGGCCUGCGGAAUUUUCUGAAGAUUGCUAAAAAUGUGAAAUAAACUUCACAAGGUGAAAACUCAAAUUUCGGAGGCGAAUUUGGAGAUUCUAAAAUUUUCAAACCCGCCAGUUCCAAGGAUAGACAGAUCCAAUUUUUUUCCUGAUCGAUUUUGAUAUAUGGAACAUUGAAAUCGGAGUUUGUAUGUGAAAGUUAUGGCUGUUUUAUGAAUGGACUCUAAAUUAGAGGACAAAAUGGUCCGAAAGUGUGAAAAAAUUACGGCGGCGGCUAGAAAUUGAUUGAAACGGUGGGGAGAAAUACAUGAACUGGACUCUAACAAAACCUAACCAGCAACAAGACCUCAACCAAGAUACAAACUCAACACUAUAGACUCUGAAACUGAAAUAUGCAAAGGCUAUGGCGCGUAAGGGUUGUAGGAUAGGAAAACGAUAUUGCACUGGACUUACGGGACAAACACAAGAACACUCGAAACUAAGGGUAGAUGUGAACCUAACGGUAUACCUGAAGCUUUGAUUACCACUUGAUGAGAGCAAGGGUGGCCUGAUCUUUUGAAAUGUUCUGGUAACUCUCGAUUUGGUGGAGACGAGAUACAAACCGACCCGGCUUCCGAACAACACGAUCAGAAACUCUACAAUUUUUUUUAUUUUUUUGAUAUUUUCUUUUACUUAGGAGCACUAAUGAAGUAACCACAAAAAAUUUGAGCUUAAACAAGUGGAAGACGUGGCUUGUAGAAAUUUCUGAAGACUGCGAAAAAUGUAAAAAAAAUCACGAGGUGAAAACUCAAAUUUUGGAGGUUAAUUUGGAGAUACUAAAAUUUUCAAACCCACCAAUGGCAGAGACAGACAGAUCCAAAAUUUUUUUCUAACACGAUUUUGAUAUAUGAAACAUUGAAACUAGAGUUCGUAUGCGAAAGUUAUGGCUGUUUUACGAAUGGGGUCUGAAUUAGAGGACAAAACGGUUCGAAAUUGGGAAAAAUUUGCGGCGGUGGCUAGAAAUUGAUGGAAAACGGUGGGGAAAAACACACGAACUGGACUCUAACAAGACCUAACCAGCAACAAGACCUCGACCAGGACACAAACUCAACACUGCAGACUAUCAAACUGAAAUAUGCAAAGGCUAUGAUGCGGAAGGGUUCUAGGACAGGAAAACGAUAUUGCACUGGACUUACGGGACGAACACAAGAACACUCGAAACUAAGGGUAGAUGUGAACCUAACGGUAUACCUGAAGCUUUGAUUACCACUUGAUGAUAGCAAGGGUCGCCUGAUCUUAUGAAAUGUUCUGGUAACUCUCGAUUUGGUGGAGACGAGAUACAAAUCGAUCCGGCUUCCAAACAACAUGAUCCGAAACCCGGCAUUUUUUAAUUUCAUUGAUAUUUUUCUUUUACUUAGGAGCACUAAAGAAGUAACUAGAGAAAAUUUGAGCUUAAACAAGUGAAAGACGUGGCCUGCGGAAUUUUCUGAAGAUUGAGAAAAAUGUGAAAUAAACUUCACGUGGUGAAAACUCAAAUUUCGGAGGCGAAUUUGGAGAUUCUAAAAUUUUCAAACCCGCCUGGGGCGGAGACAGACAGAGCCAAAAUUUUUUUCUGAUACUAUUUUGAUAUAUGGAACAUUGAAAUUAGAGUUUGUAUGUGAAAGUUAUGGUUAUUUUACGUAUGGGAUCCGAAUUAGAGGACAAUACGGUUCGAAAGUGGGAAAAAUUUGCGGCGGUGGCUACAAAUUGAUGGAAAAUGGUGGGGAAAAACACACGAACUAGACUCUAACAAGACUUAACUAGCAACAAGACCUCGACCAGGACACAAACUCAACACUGCAUACUCUCAAACUGAAAUAUGCAAAGGCUAUGACGCGGAAGGGUUGUAGGACAGGAAAACGAUAUGGCACUGGACUUACGGGACGACCACAAGAACACUCGAAACCAAAGGUAGAUGUGAACCAAAUGGAAUUCCCUUAAGCUUUGAUUAUCACUUGAUGAGAGCCAGGGUGACCUGAUCUUAUGAAAUGUUCUGGUAACUCUCGAUUUGGUGGAGACGAGAUACAAAUCGAUUCGGCUUCCAAACAACACGAUCCAAAACCCUGCAUUUUUUUAAUUUUUUUGAUAUUUUUCUUUUACUUAGGAGCACUAAAGAAGUAACCACAGAAAACUUGAGCUUAAACAAGUGAAAGACAUGCCCUGCGGAAUUUUCUGAAUAUUGCAAAAAAUGUGAAAUAAACUUCACGAGGUGAAAACUCAAAUUUCGGAGGCGAAUUUGGAGAUUCUAAAAUUUCAAACCCGCUCCGGGUGGGGACGAACAAAUCCAAAAAUUUUUUGUGAUCGAUUUUGAUAUAUGGAACGUUGAAAUCGGAGUUCGUAUGUGAAAGUUAUGGCUGUGUUACGAACGGACUCCGAAUUAGAGGACAAAACGGUCCGAAAGUGGGAAAAAUUUGCGGCGGUGGCUAGAAAUUGAUGAAAAACGGUGGGGAAGAACACACGAACUGGACAACACACGAACUGGACUGUAACAAGACCUAACCAACAACAAGACCUGGACCAGGACACAAAUUCUAUGGCGCGGAAGGGUUGUAGAACAGAAAAAUGAUAUGACACUGGACUUAUGAGACAAACACAAGAACACUCGAAACUAAGGGUAGAUGUGAACCUAACGGUAUACAUGAAACUUUGAUUACCACUUGAUGAGAACAAGGGUGGCCUGAUCUUCCGAAAGGUUCUGGUAUCUGGGUUCCGAACAACACGACCCGAAAUUCUGCAAUUUUUUUUAAUUUUUUGAUAUUUUUUUACUUAGGAGCACUAAAGAAGUAACCACAGAAAAUUUGAGCUUAAACAAGUGAAAGAAAAUUUGAGCUUAAACAAGUGAAAGACGUGGCCUGCAGAAUUUUUUGAAGAUUGCGAAAAAUGUGAAAUAAACUUCACGAGGUGAAAACUCAAACUUCAGAGGCGAAUUUGGAGAUUCAAAAAUUUUUAAACCCACCAAUGGCGGAGACAGACAGAUCCAAAAAUUUUUCUGACCGAUUUUGAUAUAUCGAACAAUGAAAUCGGUGUUCGUAUGUGAAAGUUAUGAUUGUUUUACGAACGGACUCCGAAUUUGAUGACAAAACAGUCUAAAAGUGGGAAAAAUUUGCGGCGGUGGCUAGAAAUUGAUGGAAACGGUUGUGAAAAAUACACGAACUAGACUCUAACAAGACCUAACCAACAACAAGACCUCGACCAGGAACCAAACUCAACACUGCGGACUCCGAAGCUAAAAUAUGCAAUGGCUAUGGUGCGGAAGGGUUGUUGGACAGAAAAACGAUAUGGCACUGGACUUAUGGGACGAACACAAGAACACUCGAAACUAAGGGUAGAUGUGAACCUAAUGGUAUACCUGAAGAUUUGAUUACCACUUGAUGAGAACAAGGGGCCCGAUGUUCCGAAAGGUUCUGGUAACUCUCGAUUUGGUGGAGACGAGACACAAAUCGAUCUGGCUUUCGAACAACACGAUCCAAAAUCUUGCAAUUCUAUUUUGAUAUUUUCUUUUCUUAGGAGCAGUAAAGAAGUAGCCAUAGAAAACUUGAGCUUAAACAAGUGAAAGACGUGGCCUGCAGAAAUUUCUGAAGAUUGCGGAAAAUGUGAAAAAAAUUCAUGAGGUGAAAACUCAAACUUCGGAGUCGAAUUCAUAGAUUCUAAAAUUUUCAAACCCACCGAUGGCAGAGACAGACAGAUCCAAAAAAAUUUUCUAACCAAUUUUGAUACAAAUCGGUGUUCGUAUGCGAAAGUUAUGGCUAUUUUUCAAAUGGACUCCGAAUUAGAGGAUAAAAUAUUUCGAAAGUGGGAAAAAUUUGCGGCGGUGGCUAGAAAUUGAUGGAAACGGUGGGGAAGAAAUACAUAAACUGGACUUUCAGAAGACCUAACCAGCAACAAGACCCCGACCAGGACACAAACUCGACACUGCGGACUCAAAAACAGAAAUAUGCAAAGGCUAUGGCGCGGAAGGAUUGUAGGACAGAAAAACGAUAUGGCACUAGACUUAUUGGACGAACACAAGAACACUCGAAACUAAGGGUAGAUGUGAACCUAAUGGUAUACCUGAAGCUGAUUACCACUUGAUGAGAACAAAGGGUGGCCCGAUCUUCCCAAAGGUUCUGGUAACUCUCGAUUUAGCGGAGACGAGAUACAAAUCGAUCUGGGUUCCAAACAACACGAUCCGAAAUCCUACAAUUUUUUAAAUUUUUUUUUAUAUUUUUGUUUUACUUAGAAGCACUAAAGAAGUAACCACAGAAAAUUUGAGCUUCAACAAGUGAAAGACGUGGCCUGCAGAAUUUUUUGAAGAUUGUGAAAAAAGUGAAAUAAAGUUCAUGAGAUGAAAACUCAAACUUCAGAGGCGAGUUUGGAGAUUCUAAAAUUUUCAAACCCACCAAUGGCAGAGACAGACAGAUCCAAACUUUUUUUCUGACCGAUUUUGAUAUAUGGAACAAUGAAAUCAGUGUUCGUAUGUGAAAGUUAUGGUUGUUUUACGAACGGUCUCCGAAUUCGAUGACAAAACGGUCCGAAAGUGGGAAAAAAAUUGCGGCGGUGGCUAGAAAUUGAUGAAAAUGGUGGGGAAAAAUACACAAACUGGACUCUAACAAGACCCAACCAGCAACAAGACCCCGACUAUGACACAAACUCGACACUGCGGACUCUGAAACUGAAGUAUGCAGAGGCUAUGGCCCGGAAGGAUUGUAGGACGGGAAAACGAUAUGACACUAGAUUUAUGGGACGAACACAAGAACACUCGAAAGUAAGGGUAGAUGUGAACCUAACGGUAUACCUGAAGCUGAUUACCACUUGAUGAGAACAAGGGUGGCCCGAUCUUUCCAAAUGUUCUCGUAACUCUCGAUUUAGUGGAGACGAGACACAAAUCGAUCCGGCUUCCGAACAACACGAUCCAAAACGCUGCAUUUUUUUAUUUUUCUGGAAAUUUUCUUUUAUUUAGGAGCACUAAAGAAGUAAUCACAGAAAAUAUGAGCUUAAACAAGUGAAAGACGUGGCCUGCGGAAUUUUCUGAAGAUUGCGAAAAAUGUGAAAUCAAUUUCACGAGGUGAAAACUCAAACUUCGUGGGCAAGUUUGCAGAUUCUGAAAUUUUUAAACCCGCCUUUGGUGGGCACAGACAGAUCCGAAAUUUUUUUCUGAUCAAUUUGGAUAUAUGGAACGUUGAAAUCGGAGUUCGUAUGCGAAAGUUAUGGCUGUGUUACGAAUGGACUCUGAAAUAGAGGACAAAACGGUAUGAACGUGGGAAAAAUUUGCGGUGGUGGCUAGAAAUUGAUGGAAACAGUGGGGAAAAAUACACGAACUAGACUCUAACAAGACCUAAAAAAACAACAAGACCUCGACCAGGAACCAAACUCAACACUGCGGACUCUGAAACUGAAAUAUGCAAAGACUAUGGCGCGGAAUGGUUGUAGGGAAGAAAAACGAUAUGGCACUAGACGUAUGGGACGACCACAAGAACACUCAAAACUAAGGGUAGAUGUGAACCUAACGGUAUACCUGAAGCUUUAAUUACCACUUAAUGAGAACAAGGGUGGCCCGAUCUUCCGAAACGUUCUGGUAACUCUUGAUUUGGUGGAGACGAGACACAAAUCGAUCUGGCUUCCGAACAACACGAUAAAAAAUCCUGCAAUUUUUUUUUGAUAUUUUUCUUUUCUUAGGAGCAAUAAAGAAGUAACCACACAAAACUUGAGCCUAAACAAGUGAAAGACGUGGCAUGCAGAAAUUUCUGAAGAUUGCGGAAAAUGUGAAAAAAAUUCAUGAGGUGGAAACUCAAACUUUGGAGGCGAAUUUGUAGAUUCUAAAAUUUUCAAACCCACAAAUGGCAGAGACAGACAGAUCCAAAAAAUUUUUCUGACAGAUGUUGAUAUAUGGAACAUUGAAAUCGGUGUUCGUAUCCGAAAGUUAUGGCUGUUUUACGAACUGACUCCGAAUUAGAUGACAAAACGGUCCGAAAGUGGGAAAAAUUUGUGAUGGUGGCUAGAAAUUGAUGGAAACGGUGGGAAAAAAUACACGAAUUGGACUCUAACAAGACCUAACCAACAACAAGACCUUGACUAGGACACAAACUCAACACUGCAGACUCUGAAACUGAAAUAUGCAAAGGCUAUGACGCGGAAGGGUUGUAGGUCAAGAAAACGAUAUGGCACUGGACUUAUGGGACGAACACAAGAGCACUCGGAACUAAGGGUAGAUGUGAACUUAACGGUAUACCUGAAGCUUUGAUUACCACUUGAUGAGAACAAGAGUGGCCCGAUCUUCCGAAAGGUUAUGGUAACUCUCGAUUUGGCGGAGACGAGACACAAAUCGAUUCGGCUUCGAAACAACACAAUCCAAAAUCCUACUAUUUUUUAUUUUUUUAUAUUUUUCUCUGACUUAGGAGCAAUAAAGAAGUAACCGCAGAAAAUUUGGGCUUAAACAAGUGAAAGACGUGGCCUGCAGAAAUUUCUGAAGAUUGUGAAAAAUGUGAAAAAAAUUCACGAGGUGAAAACUCAAACUUCAGAGGUGAAUUUGGAGAUUCUAAAAUUUUCAAACCCACCAAUGCUAGAGACAGACAGAUCCAAAUUUUUUCUGAUCGAUUUUGAUAUAUGGAACAUUGAAAUCGGAGUUCGUAUGUGAAAGUUAUGGUUGUUUUACGAAUGGACUACGAAUUAGAGGACAAAACGGUCCGAAAGUGGGAAAAAUUUUCGGCGGUGGCUAGAAAUUGAUGGAAACGGUGGGGAAAAAUACACGAACUAGACUCUAAUAAGACCUAACCAACAACAAGACCUCGACCAGGACACAAACUCGACACUGCGGACUAUGAAACUAAAAUAUGCAAAGGCUCUGGCACGGAAGGUUGUAGGACAGGAAAACGAUAUGGCACUGGACUUAUAGGACGAACACAAGAACACACGAAACUAAGGGUAGAUGUGAACCUAACAAUAUAUCUGAAGCUUUGAUUACCACUUGAUGGGAACAAGAGUGGCCCGAUAUUCUGAAAGGUUCUGGUAACUCUCGAUUUGGCGAAGACGAGACACAAAUCGAUCCGGCUUCCAAACAACACGAUUCGAAAUCCUGCAAUUUUAUUUUAUUUUUUUGAUAUUUUUCUUUUACUUAGGAGCAAUAAAGAAGUAACCAUAGAAAGUUUGAGGUUAAACAAGUGAAAGACGUGGCCUGCGGAAAUUUCUGAAAAUUGCAAAAAAUGUGAAAAAAAUUCACGAGGUGAAAACUCAAACUUCAGAGGCGAAUUUGGAGAUUCUAAAAUUUUCAAACCCACCAAUGGUAGAGACAGACAGAUCCAAAUUUUUUCUAAUCGAUUUUGAUAUAUAUGGAACAUUGAAAUCGGAGUUCGUAUGCGAAAGUUAUGGUUGUUUUACGAGCAAACUCCGAAUUAGAGGACAAAACAGUCCGAAAGUGGGAAAAAUUUGCGGCGGCGGCUAGAAAAUGAUGGAAACGGUGGGGAAAAUGCACAAACUGGACUCUAACAAGACCUCACCAGCAACAAGACCCUAACUAGGACACAAACUCGACACUAUGGACUCUGAAACUGAAAUAUGCAAAGGCUAUGGCGCGGAAGGGUUGUAGGACAGGGAAACGAUAUGGCACUGGACUUAUGGGAUGAACAUAAGAACACUCAAAACUAAGGGUAGAUGUGAACCUAACGGUAUACCUGAAGCUUUGAUUACCAUUUGAUGAGAACAAGGGUGGCCCGAUCUUCUGAAAGGUUCUGGUAACUCUCGAUUUGGUGGAGAUGAGAUACAAAUCGAUCUUGCUUCCGAACAACACGAUCCGAAACCCUACAAUUUUUUUAUUUUUUUGAUAUUUUUCUUUUACUAAGGAGCACUAAAGAAGUAACCACAUAAAAUUUGAGCCUAAACAAGUGAAAGCCGUGGUCGGUGGAAUUUUCUAAAAAUUGCAAAAAAUAUGAAAAAAACUUCAUGAGAUGAAAACUCAAAGUUCGUAGGUGAAUUUGGAGAUUCUAAAAUUUUCAAACCCGCCUUUGGCGGGGACAUACAGAUCUGAAAUUUUUUCUGAUCGAUUUUGAUAUAUGGAAUGUUGAAGUCGGAGUUCAUAUGCAAAAGUUAUGGCUAUUUUACGAAUAGACUCCGAAUUGGAGGACAAAACACUGUGUAAGUGGGAAAAAUUUGCGGCAGUGGCUAGAAAUUGAUGAAAAAUGUUGGGAAAAAACACACGAACUGGAUUCUAACAAGAUCUAACCAGCAACAAGACCUCGACCAGGACAUAAACUCAACACUACGGACUCUGAAACUGAAAUAUGCAAAGGCUAUGGCGUGGAAGGGAUGUAGGACAGGAAAACGAUAUCGCACUGGACUUAUGGGACAAACACAAGAACACUCGAAACUAAGGGUGAUGUCUAAUGGUAUACCUGAAGCUUUGAUUACCACUUGAUGAGAAUAAGGGUGGCCAAUUUUCCGAAAGGUUCUCGUAACUCGCGAUUUGGUGGAGACGAGAUACAAAUUGAUCCGACUUUCGAACAACAUGAUCCGAAACCCUGCACUUUUUUUAAUUUUUUUGAUAUUUUUCUUUUACUUAGGAGCACCAAAAGAAGUAACCACAAAAAAUUUAAGCUUAAACAAGUGAAAGACGUGACCUGCGGAUUUUUCUAAAUAUUGCAAAAAUGUGAAAAAAACUUCACGAGGUGAAAACUCAAACAUUGGAGGCGAAUUUGGAGAUUCUAAAAUAUUCAAACCCACCUUUGGAAGGGACAGACGGAUCCGAAAUUUUUUCUGAUUGAUUUUGAUAUAUGGAACGUUGAAAUCGGAGUUCGUAUGCGAAAGUUAUGGCUAUUUUACGAAUGGACUCCGAAUUAGAGGACAAAGCGGUCGGAGAGUGGGAAAAAUUUGCGGCAGUGGCUAGAAUUUGAUGGAAAACGGUGGGGAAAAACACACGAACUGGACUCUAACAAGACCUAACCAGCAACAAGACCUCGACCAAGACACAAACUCAAUACUGCGGAUUCUGAAACUGAAAUAUGCAAAGGCUAUGGUGCGGAAGGGAUGUAGGAGAGGAAAAUGAUAUGGCACUAGACUUGUGGGACGAACACAAGAACACUCGAAACUAAGGGUGAUGUGAACCUAACGGUAUACCUGAAGCUUUGAUUACCACUUGUUGAGAACAAGGGUGGCCCGAUCUUCCGAAAGGUUCUGGUAACUCUCGAUUUGGUGGAGACGAUAUACAAACAUAUCCGGCUUCCGAACAACAUGAUCCAAAACCUUGCAAUUUUUUAAUUUUUUUGAUAUUUUUCUUUUACUUAGGAGUACUAAAGAAGUAACCACAAAAAAUUUUUUUUGACACAACUUUGAUAUAUGGAAUAUUGAAAUCGGAGUUCGUAAGUGAAAGUUAUGGCUAUUUUACGAAUGGGAUCCGAAUUAGAGGAUAAUACGGUUCGAAAAUGGGAAAAAUUUGCGGCGGUGGCUACAAAUUGAUGGAAAACGGUGGGGAAAACACACGAACUGGACUCUAACAAGAUCUAACCAGCAACAAGACCUCGACCAGGACACAAACUCAACACUGCAUACUCUCAAACUGAAAUAUGCAAAGGCUAUGACGCUGAAGGGUUGUAGGACAGGAAAACGAUAUGGCACUGGACUUACGGGACGACCACAAGAACAUUAGAAACCAAAGGUAGAUGUGAACCUAAUGGUAUACCUGAAGCUUUGAUUAUCACUUGAUGAGAGCCAAGGUGACCUGAUCUUAUGAAAUGUUCUGGUAACUCUCGAUUUGGUGGAGACGAGAUACAAAUCGAUUCGGCUUCCAAACAACACGAUCCAAAACCCUGCAUUUUUUAAUUUUUUUUGAUAUUUUUCUUUUACUUAGGAGCACUAAAGAAGUAACCACAGAAAACUUGAGCUUAAACAAGUGAAAGACAUGGCCUGCGGAAUUUUCUGAAGAUUGCGAAAAAUGUGAAAUAAACUUCACGAGGUGAAAACUCAAAUUUCGAAGGCGAAUUUGGAGAUUCUAAAAUUUUCAAACCCGCCCCGGCUGGGGACGAACAAAUCCAAAAAAAUUUUCUGAUCGAUUUUGAUAUAUGGAACGUUGAAAUCGGAGUUCGUAUGUGAUGUUAAGGCUGUGUUACGAACGGACUCCGAAUUAGAGGACAAGACGGUCCGAAAGUGGAAAAAAUUUGCGGCGGUGGCUAGAAAUUGAUGGAAACGGUGGGGAAGAACACACGAACUGGACAACACACGAACUGGACUGUAACAAGACCUAACCAACAACAAGACCUGGACCAGGACACAAAUUCUAUGGUGCGGAAGGGUUGUAGAACAGGAAAAUGAUAUGACACUGGAGUUAUGGGACAAACACAAUAACACUCAAAACUAAGGGUAGAUGUGAACCUAACGGUAUACAUGAAACUUUGAUUACCACUUGAUGAGAACAAGGGUGGCCUGAUCUUCCGAAAGGUUCUGGUAUCUCUCGAUUUGGUGGAUACGAGAUACAAACUGAUCUGGGUUCCGAACAACACGAUCCGAAAUCCUGCAAUUUUUUUUAAUUUUUUGAUAUUUUUCUUUUACUUAGGAGCACUAAAGAAGUAACCACACAAAAUUUGAGCUUAAACAAGUGAAAGAAAAUUUGAGCUUAAACAAGUGAAAGACGUGGCCUGCAGAAUUUUUUGAAGAUUGCGAAAAAUGUGAAAUAAACUUCACGAGGUGAAAACUCAAACUUCAGAGGCGAAUUUGG